UUCAGGUAUAUUUCAAUAUCUAUUGAUGCAUGGAGCUUGAACUGAAUAUAUCCCCAAGUUUGAAGAUCCAUGUGUCUUAUGUUCUCUGCGAGUCCUCAUUUUGUUUUCUUUUCCUUUAGUUCUGAUUUGCCUUGUAAUAAUUGAACAUUUGGAUUUUUUACCUUAUAAUAAUUGGACAUUUGGAUUGAUAUUUUAAAUAUGUACAAUUAAUAGUAAGAUUAACUAGUGGUAUGGCCAGUUCAGA
RNAcentral lists this long non-coding RNA (244 nucleotides) under Nicotiana benthamiana. Its description in RNAcentral is "long non-coding RNA (NBEN_LNC020651)". Lineage: Eukaryota; Viridiplantae; Streptophyta; Magnoliopsida; Solanales; Solanaceae. The record is from RNAcentral.